UACGUAGGCAGCAAGCGUUGUUCGGAGUUACUGGGCGUAAAGAGUGUGUAGGCGGUCGUCCAAGUUUGGUGUGAAAUCUCCCGGCUUAACUGGGAGGGUGCGCCGAAAACUGGAUAACUGGAGUAUGGGAGAGGAAAGCGGAAUUCCUGGUGUAGCGGUGAAAUGCGUAGAUAUCAGGAGGAACACCUGCGGUGUAGACGGCUUUCUGGACCAUGACUGACGCUGAGACACGAAAGCGUGGGGAGCAAACAGG
RNAcentral lists this ribosomal RNA (253 nucleotides) under uncultured bacterium. Its description in RNAcentral is "partial 16S ribosomal RNA". It matches the Rfam family "Bacterial small subunit ribosomal RNA", at positions 524 to 776 of the family's 1533-position model. The record is from RNAcentral.